AGGUCGGAAUCUGUACUCUAUCCAUGACCUUCAGCAGCAGUUUUCAUUCCAGUUGAUGAAGGCUUCUUUUUACCUGAAAGCUGCAAGGUGCCAUUCCCACAUUCCAGGUUCACCAGGAAUCCAGUGUCUGGCUUUCACGAGUCUUGGGAACACAGCAGAAAGAACCUGGACUUCAUUCCUCCCGUGUUUAAGAAGCAAAAGUGGAGCCAUGGCUCUUAGGAAGAAUGUUCCAGACAUUAUUACCAUACAGCUCCCUCCCCUACUCUCCACCUCCACCAACUUCAAGCACAACCUGAAGCUACAUUCGAUUCCAUGAAAUGUGUAUUUUCCAAAUUCUGUUUUGUCCAAGGGCCGAGUUGGCUGGAGAAGGAAAAGUGGAAAAGCAUGCCCGAGAGAGCUCCUGGUGUGUCUUCUUCAUCUACAUGCUACCCUCCAUUUGAAGGGGCUUCCCCUCCCAGCGGCUGUGUUGGGCCUGUGAGUUUGUGCAAUGCCCGUGUCUGGUUGCUUCAGAGAAUCCCCUACUGGCUUAUCAUGGACUCUGGAGGAAAUGAGGCCAUUGCAGAAAUCAGAAUGAUUUUGAUCAUUCUUCUACAACAAAUCCACUCAAGGUGAUGAACUGCAUGGUCCAAAAGGAUAAAUGGCAAACCCUCUUCCAGAUAGCAAUGCAAAGGUCUGGUUCCUUCCAUCUUCUGGCUACUCCACUUUGGAGUCUUUGCCCUCCAGUCACAAGAACAGGAAUUUGCAAGAUACUUUACCAGUCUAACUGCAAGGUGCUAGAUGUCUCUUCAGUUCGUGUUCCAGGACCGAUUAUCAGCAUAGCAUAAUUGCAAGGAAGACUGGUUACUGUGCAUAGGUGUGACCACUAGCCUACAUACCUCACUGUGGGCCCCAGAGGAGUCAUCUGUGCUCCUAUAGCCUUACCUCCUUCUCUGAAAAAUGGGGAUAAUAGCCCACAGCCUGUAGAGUUCCUGUAUGAUGAUUAAUAUUGUAACCAACUUGACAGACUCUAGAAUCUCCAGGAUACAAACCUAUGGACACGACCAUGAGGGAGUUUCUAGACUAGGUAAGUCCAAGUGGAAAAAUGCACUCUAAAUAUGGGUGGUGCCAUCCAAAGACUGGAAUCCUGUACAGAAUAAAAAAGAGAAAGAAGACCAACUGCA
Mesocricetus auratus (golden hamster) is the source of this 1160-nucleotide long non-coding RNA. RefSeq lists it as uncharacterized. The record is from RefSeq and is a predicted model, not a curated record. The transcript has 2 exons. NCBI's taxonomy places the organism in Eukaryota, Metazoa, Chordata, Mammalia, Rodentia, Cricetidae.